RNAcentral lists this ribosomal RNA (497 nucleotides) under uncultured bacterium. RNAcentral's name for it is "partial 16S ribosomal RNA". It matches the Rfam family "Bacterial small subunit ribosomal RNA", at positions 28 to 507 of the family's 1533-position model. The record is from RNAcentral.
GAUGAACGCUGGCGGCGUGCCUAAUACAUGCAAGUCGAGCGAACAGACGAGGAGCUUGCUCCUCUGACGUUAGCGGCGGACGGGUGAGUAACACGUGGAUAACCUACCUAUAAGACUGGGAUAACUUCGGGAAACCGGAGCUAAUACCGGAUAACAUGUUGAACCGCAUGGUUCAACAGUGAAAGACGGUCUUGCUGUCACUUAUAGAUGGAUCCGCGCCGCAUUAGCUAGCUGGUAAGGUAACGGCUUACCAAGGCAACGAUGCGUAGCCGACCUGAGAGGGUGAUCGGCCACACUGGAACUGAGACACGGUCCAGACUCCUACGGGAGGCAGCAGUAGGGAAUCUUCCGCAAUGGGCGAAAGCCUGACGGAGCAACGCCGCGUGAGUGAAGAAGGUCUUCGGAUCGUAAAACUCUGUUAUUAGGGAAGAACAAAUGUGUAAGUAACUAUGCACGUCUUGACGGUACCUAAUCAGAAAGCCACGGCUAACUACGUG